This 397-nucleotide ribosomal RNA is filed under the name uncultured bacterium. RNAcentral describes it as "bacterial SSU rRNA". It matches the Rfam family "Bacterial small subunit ribosomal RNA", at positions 358 to 772 of the family's 1533-position model. The record is from RNAcentral.
GGAAUCUUGGACAAUGGGCGCAAGCCUGAUCCAGCCAUGCCGCGUGAGUGAAGAAGGCCUUAGGGUUGUAAAACUCUUUCGCCGGAGAAGAUAAUGACGGUAUCCGGAGAAGAAGACCCGGCUAACUUCGUGCCAGCAGCCGCGGUAAUACGAAGGGGGCUAGCGUUGUUCGGAAUUACUGGGCGUAAAGCGCACGUAGGCGGAUUUGUAAGUAGGGGGUGAAAUCCCCAGGCUCAACCUGGGAACUGCCUUCUAGACUGCAAGUCUGGAGAUCAGGAGAGGCGAGUGGAAUUCCGAGUGUAGAGGUGAAAUUCGUAGAUAUUCGGAAGAACACCAGUGGCGAAGGCGGCUCACUGGACGACUGUUGACGCUGAGGUGCGAAAGCGUGGGGAGCAAA